This 180-nucleotide ribosomal RNA is filed under the name uncultured Glomeromycotina. Its description in RNAcentral is "partial small subunit ribosomal RNA". The stretch from base 48 to 180 matches the Rfam family "Eukaryotic small subunit ribosomal RNA", at positions 693 to 828 of the family's 1831-position model. Lineage: Eukaryota; Fungi; Glomeromycota. The record is from RNAcentral.
GGGUUCACCCAUUGGUCAGGCUUAAUUGUCUGUACUGGUGAGAUGAGUCUCUACCUUCUGAGGAACUUUCAUGCCAUUUAUUUGGUGUGAUGGGAAAUCAGGACUGUUACUUUGAAAAAAUUAGAGUGUUUAAAGCAGGCUAACGUCUGAAUACAUUAGCAUGGAAUAAUAGAAUAGGAC